UUUGCUUUUGUUGUAUUUUUGUUGGAAAGAAAAAGAAUCAUUGCAUAACAAAUAGGAAUAUGAAGAUAUAGGGAGCCAAAGAGAAAUCAUUUAAAGUUCUACAAUAAAUGCAACCCUAGAUCUAUGAUUUUUUUUAUUGCUUAUGCCAAUAGUGCAAGUUGACUCAACCACACAAACAACGUAACAUGUUCAAUUAGCAAAUACUACAAUAUGUCCAAAUCCUGCCCAUAGUAUCG
This 236-nucleotide long non-coding RNA is filed under the name Phoenix dactylifera (date palm). Its description in RNAcentral is "long non-coding RNA (PDAC_LNC016312)". The record is from RNAcentral. Lineage: Eukaryota; Viridiplantae; Streptophyta; Magnoliopsida; Arecales; Arecaceae.